CAGGGGCUGAUGGAGCUUUGUCCCUAGGGGUGCCCAUGUGGCACCUGCAGGACUAAAGCACAGAGAAACUGGAUGAGAUCUGCAGUGCGCGGAGUCACAGUCUAUCCCUUGGAACAAACUGGGCUGGAAGAGGACCAGGAUGCUGCACUGGCACUGCCAUGGCUUCAUGUUUUCCAGUAGAUAUUUCAGCAUUUCAAUUAUUUGCCUGUGAAGGUGUGGAAAGACCAGAGGAGGGCAGGCAGAGUCUGGGAUGGAAAAAAGCAGCAGCUACAAAGAGAUGCUUAAAAUAUGUCAGAGAAAUCAAUAAUCCAAAUGAA
Molecule: long non-coding RNA, 317 nt
Organism: Corapipo altera (White-ruffed manakin)
Lineage: Eukaryota; Metazoa; Chordata; Aves; Passeriformes; Pipridae
Exons: 3
Source: RefSeq, a predicted model, not a curated record